CAACCGGGACAGGCCGAAUUUCCUUAGCCUCCUGAGGAAGUAGAGGCGCUGGUGAGCUUGUGUCAUCCCUGGUCCCUUUAAACUCACUGGGCACACUGGAAGGUUCAUUGAACAUGGAAAACAAGUAAAAUAAAACUAUGUUUGGGUACUAAUGGAGUAGAAUCAGAACCAGGUUUAUUAUCACCGAUGUAUGUUGUGAAAUGUGUUGUUUUGUGGCAGCAGUACAGUGCAAGACAUAAAGUUACUAUAAGUUACAAAAAUAUAUAAAGAGGGCAAAAGAGGAAUAACGAGGGAGUGUUCAUGGGUUCAUGGACCAUUCAGAGAUCUGAUGGCGGAGGGGAAGAAGCUGUUCCUGAAUCGUUGAGUGUGGGUCUUCAGGCUCCUGUACCUCCUCCCCGAUGGUAGUAAUGAGAAGAGGGCAUGUCCCGGGUGGUGAGGGUUCUCAGUGACGGAUGCCGCCUUCUUGAGGCACCGCCUCUUGAAGAUGUCCUUGACAGCGGGGAGGGCUGUGCCCGUGAUGGAGCUGGCUGAGUCUGCAACCCUCCGUGGCCUCUUGCGAUCCUGUGCGUCGGAGCCUCCGUACCAGGCGGCGAUGCAACCAGUCAGAAUGCUCUCCGCCGUACAUCUAUAGAGAUUUGCAAGAGUCUUUGGUGACGUACCAAAUCUCCUCAAACUCCUAACGAAGUAGAGCCGCUGGCCUGCCUUCUUCGUGAUUGCAUCGAUGUGUUGGGCCCGGGAUAGAUCCUCGGAGAUGUUGGCUCCCAGGAACUUGAAGCUUCUCCCCCUUUCCACUGCUGACUGUCAGCUGGGUGGCUUCCUCCCGCUCUGAAUCCAACCCCGCCCAGCGGAUGAUGACCGCCCCGUCAGCGCAAAGGUCCCAACUCGAUGACAGGCCUUCAAGCUUUUCUCCGUCCAAAUGAGUUAUCACCGAGGACAGGUCAUCCUGUGCUGAAGGCAGCCAUCUUGGAACAGAACCGCGACCGCCCGUCCUCAUCGCCAGCGCCGUAUCCCGCGACACGAGAAAAGAGGCCACUCGGCCCCUCAAGCCUGCCCUGCCAUUCAAGACAUUUUGAUAGGUCAAAUAUGAUGGCAGAAUAUAGUAUUAAUGAGAGUCAGAGAGAGAGAGAAGUGAGAGAUGGACUGCUGGUCUCUGUGUCGAUGGAUGAAGAACAAUAACUGUGUUUGUCACCACAACCCAUGUAUGGAUUUUUGGAUUAAUUCAGUGGAGACCACUUUGUCGUUAACCUGUAGUGGGAAGCGGGUAUUUCUGUGGGCGGCCACGUAUCAAACGCCUUCGGGGUGGCAGAUACUUCGGAACAAAGCAGUGGAGAUCAUCGGAGAUCGAGGUGUCGUCUGGGUUCCGUCGUGGAACACGUGGGUUUCAUAAAUACUCUCUACAUUCUCCCUUCAGUCAACGGUGGUUUUUGCAGAAGCCUUUGCUCGCGUUUCACCAGAUGACUCGCUGAACUGAACUUCGAGAACUAUUCCUGGACAGGGUUUGGGAAUUUGCCCCACACACACCGAGUUUAG
Molecule: long non-coding RNA, 1530 nt
Organism: Pristis pectinata (smalltooth sawfish)
Lineage: Eukaryota; Metazoa; Chordata; Chondrichthyes; Rhinopristiformes; Pristidae
Exons: 3
Source: RefSeq, a predicted model, not a curated record